UUUCCGGUUGAUCCUGCCGGAGGUCACUGCUAUCGGGGUUCGAUUCAGCCAUGCGAGUUGAGAGGGUUUAGACCCUCGGCGGACUGCUCAGUAACACGUGGAUAACCUGCCCUAAGGUGGAGGAUAACCCCGGGAAACUGGGGAUAAUACUCCAUAGACCAGAGUGACUGGAAUGUUUUCUGGUCGAAAGUUCCGGCGCCUUAGGAUGGAUCUGCGGCCGAUUAGGUAGUUGUUGGGGUAACGGCCCAACAAGCCAGUCAUCGGUACGGGUUGUGGGAGCAAGAGCCCGGAGAUGGAAUCUGAGACACGAUUCCAGGCCCUACGGGGCGCAGCAGGCGCGAAAACUUUACAAUGCAGGAAACUGUGAUAAGGGAACCCCGAGUGCUCGUACACGCGAGCUGUCCAGGUGUGUAAAAAGCAUCUGAAGAAAGGGCCGGGCAAGACCGGUGCCAGCCGCCGCGGUAAUACCGGCGGCUCGAGUGGUGGCCACUAUUAUUGGGCUUAAAGCGUUCGUAGCUGGACUCUUAAGUCUCCUGGGAAAUCCGCCGGCUCAACCGGCGGGCGUCCAGGAGAUACUGGGAGUCUUGGAACCAGAAGAGG
This 600-nucleotide ribosomal RNA is filed under the name uncultured archaeon. RNAcentral describes it as "bacterial SSU rRNA". It matches the Rfam family "Archaeal small subunit ribosomal RNA", at positions 1 to 608 of the family's 1478-position model. The record is from RNAcentral.